This is a long non-coding RNA of Calidris pugnax (ruff), 1557 nucleotides long. RefSeq lists it as uncharacterized. The record is from RefSeq and is a predicted model, not a curated record. The transcript has 8 exons. Lineage: Eukaryota; Metazoa; Chordata; Aves; Charadriiformes; Scolopacidae.
CAUUGUGGAUGGGGUGUCCAGAGCUUUGAACUUCUCCAGGUUGGAGGCUUUGGCUCUUCGUUUGUGGCUCAUCUCACUCGGUGCAGAGGCUUCCCCACGCGCCCAGCUUCCACCACGCCGGCGUGAAUAGCUCCCAUAUGGCCACUCACAGCAACGCAGGGACUUCUGGCUGGAUCCAGCUAUGCAAAGUCAGAAUGAUCUCCUGGUAGACCUACUGCUAUUUCUGUCUUGUUGCCAGGCACUUCAUGCUUCAGCUUUCAUCAGAUCAAUCUUCUACCUUUGAAAGAAAAGUAGCAGGUUAACCUGUGUGCGAGGGAAAUGGAAAACACUCCUCUGCCUCUCCCCAAUGUGCUGUGCAGGUGUAGAGGGGCUUAGAAAAAGUGAUAAAAGCAAUUAGUCAUCUGUGGAAUUGAAGGAGAAACACCAUCCAGCUCUGAAGUUUGCCUGGGGUCCCUGUAAGCCUAUUAAGAUGGGUUCGGUCAUUGGAUGGAGGCUUGGAAAGCGUGGACAGGGAAGUGAAUGUUUGUACUGGGUGGAUGUUACAGUCUUCUGCUGUUUUCUAGAGCCUUGUGUUAGACUUCUCGUGCCUGAACUCCCUGCUCCAAGGAGGUGAAGGAGCACCUACAAACUCCCCCCUGAGCUCCUCGUGGGCUGUGGCACGGGAGCUGCGGGUGGGAGGCCGAGGAGAAGCGGGGCUGGCGAGAGCAGCGGGUUCAGAAACUCUGGGGCAUCCCACUGCAAAGAAAAGCCACAAGAUGGAGCUCUGGGGCUUUCCACGGGAGCCGGGCUUGAUUCACGGUCCCUGUGGUGCCUCAGGAGCCCAUUCCCCACCGUGAUGUUCCCCAGCUGCUGCUGCUCGUGGUUCUCCUGCAUCUGCUGUUGACGGUUCCCGAUGUGAAGUUCACACCGCAGCAAAUGUGAAGUCAGCAGUACGCACCCACAAGGUGGAAACUUCAAGCAAAACAGGCAGCGAGGAACAGAGUGAGGAAGGAUGGAAACUGCCUGUGGGACUGUAUAGGAGACCCUCGUUUAACGUUGAUUAAAAAAUCUCCUAUGUCAUCUUAACUCUGCUUAUUAAGACCUGAAGAAUAUCAGCUCUCUCCUACCAGGAUUCUUACAAAAUGGGAAUUUGUUAUUCCUGCUUAAAGAAGCUGGGAAGUUGGCCCUUUUCGCUUGAGUACUGAGUUUCAGCAAAUUAAUUCAGAAGCCACCACAACCCAGAACACUUCAUCUCCUACUCUUCCCAGCCUAAUUCUCAAAUUCCUGAUUGAAUGCCGCUUUCUUGUGAAUUUCUGGCUUUGGUCUCCUGUUACACACUCAGAAUUAGCGGUGAAAACGUGGAUCCCAGUGAUUUCCAACAUACUUUUUUACACCACUGAAAUGCUAGAAGUGACUCUUGGACAAGAGGGCCAAAUCCCUGCCCUCAAUACAGCAAUAGCAUUUGGGGUGCCUCGACCAGACUCUCAUCGGCCAUUUGCCUUCAUAAAGGGUGUGUGUUUGUCAAUCUCAAAAGCUGCUGCAUCUCCUACAGCAUCAUCCAACGAUGCCAGGAAAACG